CUCUCGGCAACGGAUAUCUCGGCUCUCGCAUCGAUGAAGAACGUAGCGAAAUGCGAUACUUGGUGUGAAUUGCAGAAUCCCGUGAACCAUCGAGUCUUUGAACGCAAGUUGCGCCCGAAGCCGUCAGGCCGAGGGCACGCCUGCCUGGGUGUCACG
This 156-nucleotide ribosomal RNA is filed under the name Acacia acuminata. Its description in RNAcentral is "5.8S ribosomal RNA". It matches the Rfam family "5.8S ribosomal RNA". From Rfam's summary of the family: 5.8S ribosomal RNA (5.8S rRNA) is a component of the large subunit of the eukaryotic ribosome. RNAcentral also lists the same sequence under 14 other names. Lineage: Eukaryota; Viridiplantae; Streptophyta; Magnoliopsida; Fabales; Fabaceae. The record is from RNAcentral.